AAAAUAAUCCUACCCUUUGUGAAUUUUGUUUGUUUGAAUAAUUUUUUUUUUUUAAAAAUUAUUGGAGUCUUUCCCUUUAGAGUUUGCUUUUGAGUUUGUAAAAGAAUUCGAAAACAUCUAAAGGGGAUGGUCAAUAAUUUUUUUUGAAAAAAGACAUUUUUUAAAAUUAAACUUUUUGUAUUCAUUUGUCUAAAAAUUAUUUUUAUAAUAUAAAAACAACUUUUGACAAUGGAUCUCUUGGUUCUCGCAACGAUGAAGAACGCAGCAAAAUGCGAUAAGUAGUGUGAAUUGCAGAAUACGUGAAUCAUCGAAUCUUUGAACGCAUAUUGCACUUUUUUAGUUUACUAAAAAGUAUGUCUGUUUGAGUAUCAGUAAAAUAUUCUCAUAAAAAUCAUUGUGUAUUUUUAUGGUUAUGAGUGUUUUACAACGAUACAAGUUGUUUCACUUUAAAUUUUUUUUUAAUAUUGAAAUUUUUCUAAUUUUAAUAAUUAAAAUUGGAUAAAAUUUUCCCGUCAAAAGAAUAACCUAAACAAUUUUAAAUGAUUAAUUUUAGCAAAAUUUUCGUAAAAAAGGAAAAUUUUUAUUAAAAUAACUUGAUCUCAAAUCAGAUAAGAGUACCCGCUGAACUUAAGCAUAUCAAUAAGCGGAGGAAAAGAAACUAACAAGGAUUCCCUUAGUAACGGCGAGUGAAGCGGGAAGAGCUCAAAUUUGAAAUCUUCAAGGUUUUACCUUGACGAAUUGUAGUUUAAAGAAGUGUUUUCUGCUGAAGUUUUGGUAAAAGUUCUUUGGAAUAGGACAUCAUAGAGGGUGAGAAUCCCGUAUUUGACCAUUAUUUUCAGCUUUGUGAUACACUUUCAAAGAGUCGGAUUGUUUGGGAAUGCAGUCCAAAAUGGGUGGUAAAUUUCAUCUAAAGCUAAAUAUUGGCGAGAGACCGAUAGCGAACAAGUACCGUGAGGGAAAGAUGAAAAGAACUUUGAAAAGAGAGUUAAACAGUACGUGAAAUUGUCAAAAGGGAAGCGUUUGACACCAGUGUUGUUUCUCGAAAAUCAAUUAAAAAUGGCUCGAUUUUGUAUUGCUUGAGACCUUAAAAGCUCACUGUACAUUUUUCGUGUCUUUUUUAAUGCACUUUUCCGUUUAACAAGUCAACAUCAGUUUCUUUUGUUGUAAAAGGGUCAUUGGAAGGUGGCUUUCUUUCGGAGAAAGUGUUUAUAGCCUUUGGCCUCUGCAAUCGAAGAGACUGAGGUCUGCAGCGUAGACUCUUCGGGUUAGAUACAUUUGUGCUAAGUUAUAGCUUUUUAUAGACAACUUGUUGACUAUAAUUAGUCUUGUAGCUUACUCGCUUAUGCUAUUU
Molecule: unclassified non-coding RNA, 1351 nt
Filed under: uncultured Neocallimastigales
Lineage: Eukaryota; Fungi; Neocallimastigomycota; Neocallimastigomycetes; Neocallimastigales
Description: partial contains internal transcribed spacer 1, 5.8S ribosomal RNA, internal transcribed spacer 2, and large subunit ribosomal RNA
Rfam family: Eukaryotic large subunit ribosomal RNA (bases 595-1351)
Source: RNAcentral